GAGGAGCUGAUGGAUCAGACAUAUAGGAGGAGAUGAAAAGGAAGCAGGGCAGAGGUCAGCCCUCCAAAGUCCAGAUUCUGAAGCCAGAAACCCCUGGCUGGGUGACAUAGGGCCAAGUAACUCUAGCUUUCUGAGCCUAAAAUGCCUCCUCUGGUCAGGGGUGGAGAAGAGGAAGAGAGAAAGAAAGAGAGCUCAGCAGCCUCAGGGGCUCUCCCAGCAGGAUCUUCAAGCCUAGACUUCUGUUUGGAGAAGGACCACCUCAAGCAGCCCCAGCCUUCCUGAUCUCCCAACACCAGGGGUUGCCUAGGAGCCACGUGGAGCCCUACCAGGAAACCAACCGAAGCUUCCAGAGGUCAAGGACCUUGUCCCGCUCCUCUACGGGGUGGGUAACGCUGCUGUGUGACCUGGGCUCCGCAUAUAAAGUGAGGGACUUUGCUUGAGGGCCCCCAGCACCUCACACUCCAUCCCUGACUUUGGGUCUGCGGUUCCAGCUCCCAGGACUUUCCCACCUCCCGCCCCAGCGUGCUGUUUCUUAGGGCCCAGCUCCCUUGGGAACAGCCAGGCCCGUCCCCUCCCCCUCCCGGGCUGUGCUCCUGGCAGCUCUGCCGCCCUAGGCUCUGGUCCGGGGGUGGUCCCUGGCAGAGAGGGGGCUGGGCAGAAGAUGGGAUGCUGGCGCUGAGAUGCGGGGUAUUCGGAGACCCCCAGGCCCCCACCUCAGAGCCCGCUGUGCUCUAGGCUGGGGUGGGCAGGGCCUUUUGGAAAGGGGUGGCUUGGGGUUUUAAUCACUUUUUCAAUGUUUGUUUGUGUAAUUCAGCCCCGAAAUGCUUUUCCCUCCAUCUGUCCCACCAUCUGCUCCUGUCAGGAUUUUCCAAACCGUUUGGGACC
Molecule: long non-coding RNA, 885 nt
Filed under: Homo sapiens (human)
Lineage: Eukaryota; Metazoa; Chordata; Mammalia; Primates; Hominidae
Description: HSALNT0291255
Source: RNAcentral